This 255-nucleotide ribosomal RNA is filed under the name uncultured bacterium. Its description in RNAcentral is "partial 16S ribosomal RNA". It matches the Rfam family "Bacterial small subunit ribosomal RNA", at positions 524 to 776 of the family's 1533-position model. The record is from RNAcentral.
UACGGAGGGAGCUAGCGUUGUUCGGAAUUACUGGGCGUAAAGCGCACGUAGGCGGCUAUUCAAGUCAGGGGUGAAAGCCCGGGGCUCAACCCCGGAACUGCCCUUGAAACUAGAUAGCUAGAAUCUUGGAGAGGUCAGUGGAAUUCCGAGUGUAGAGGUGAAAAUUCGUAGAUAUUCGGAAGAAACACCAGUGGCGAAGGCGACUGACUGGACAAGUAUUGACGCUGAGGUGCGAAAGCGUGGGGAGCAAACAGG